GCGCGCGCGGUUAGCGGGCAGCGAGGGUCGCCUGGGCGGUGCGCAGCACGGCGGGAACAUGGCGCGCGGAACUGGCGCGCGCGCCUAGCUGGCGGGACCGUUAGAUCGAGGCGGACGCGGCCUGGACCCCGUGGAUAUGGAGCAGUCGCCGCCGCUGGCGCCGGAGCCCACCCAAGGGCCAACCACCGCAAGGAGCUGAAGGCGGCGGGAGCCCGAGUCGCCGCCGGCGUCGGUGCCGUCAAAGAAGAUGGCCAGGGAGACAGCAGCAUGGUCAGAGUGGUAGGAGCUGGCCAUCAGUGAGAGCUGCUCCGUGCCUGGCUGCUGGGUGCUAGAGCCUGUGGACCACUGGUUUGCCUCACUGGUUGGUGGUGGCGGUGACAGAGUGUGCAGCACGACCAGAGUGGCUUUUCUGGCUUUGCCCGCCCAGCUGCUCCAUGCCAGGAGGAGGAGGAGACACCUAGAGCCUGCGACACCGUGGCUCGCCUCGCUGCAGUGUAGGUUCUACCCAUGUAACAGAUGAGGAAACCAAGGAGCACAGUUAUUUACUAACUCGCACAAGGUUUGAGGCCAAGCUCAGACCUGUGGAGCAGAAGCUGAGUGCGCUGCAGUCCCCGCUGGCCCAGAGGCCCUUCUUCGAGGUGCCCUCACCCCUGGGCGCCGUGGACCUGUACGAGUAUGCAUGCGGGGAUGAGGACCUGGAGCCACUGUGACGCCACCCAUGAGAAAGCCGCUGCGGGGCCGCUCCACACGUGCCACGGCCACCACUGGGACACCGCCGCUUGUGUAAAAACUGUUGUCUUUUGUGGAAAAUGAGUGUGUUUGCAUGGAAUGAUAAAUUUUUAUUUAUUC
Molecule: long non-coding RNA, 849 nt
Organism: Homo sapiens (human)
Lineage: Eukaryota; Metazoa; Chordata; Mammalia; Primates; Hominidae
Exons: 5
Source: RefSeq, marked validated